Molecule: transfer RNA, 72 nt
Filed under: Camelus bactrianus (Bactrian camel)
Lineage: Eukaryota; Metazoa; Chordata; Mammalia; Artiodactyla; Camelidae
Also listed under: 2 other names
Rfam family: tRNA
About the family: Transfer RNA (tRNA) molecules are approximately 80 nucleotides in length. Their secondary structure includes four short double-helical elements and three loops (D, anti-codon, and T loops).
Source: Rfam by way of RNAcentral
GAGGGUGCAGCUCAGUGGUAGAGCGCCUGCCUGGCGUGCACAGGGUCCUGGGUUCAAUCCCCAGUACCUCCA